CUACGGGGGGCAGCAGUGGGGAAUAUUGCACAAUGGGCGCAAGCCUGAUGCAGCAACGCCGCGUGAGGGACGACGGCCUUCGGGUUGUAAACCUCUUUUAGCAGGGAAGAAGCGAAAGUGACGGUACCUGCAGAAAAAGCACCGGCUAACUACGUGCCAGCAGCCGCGGUAAUACGUAGGGUGCAAGCGUUGUCCGGAAUUAUUGGGCGUAAAGAGCUCGUAGGCGGUUUGUCGCGUCUGCUGUGAAAAUCCGAGGCUCAACCUCGGACCUGCAGUGGGUACGGGCAAACUAGAGUGCGGUAGGGGAGAUUGGAAUUCCUGGUGUAGCGGUGGAAUGCGCAGAUAUCAGGAGGAACACCAAUGGCGAAGGCAGAUCUCUGGGCCGUAACUGACGCUGAGGAGCGAAAGCGUGGGGAGCGAACAGGAUUAGAUACCCCCGUAGUC
RNAcentral lists this ribosomal RNA (444 nucleotides) under uncultured bacterium. Its description in RNAcentral is "partial 16S ribosomal RNA". It matches the Rfam family "Bacterial small subunit ribosomal RNA", at positions 339 to 795 of the family's 1533-position model. The record is from RNAcentral.